RNAcentral lists this ribosomal RNA (194 nucleotides) under uncultured bacterium. RNAcentral describes it as "partial 16S ribosomal RNA". It matches the Rfam family "Bacterial small subunit ribosomal RNA", at positions 338 to 524 of the family's 1533-position model. The record is from RNAcentral.
CCUACGGGAGGCAGCAGUGGGGAAUUUUGGACAAUGGGCGAAAGCCUGAUCCAGCCAUGCCGCGUGUGUGAAGAAGGUCUUCGGAUUGUAAAGCACUUUAAGUUGGGAGGAAGGGUUGUUUCCUAAUACGAAGCAAUUUUGACGUUACCGACAGAAUAAGCCCCGGCUAACUUCGUGCCAGCAGCCGCGGUAAU